RNAcentral lists this ribosomal RNA (2521 nucleotides) under human gut metagenome. RNAcentral describes it as "bacterial LSU rRNA". It matches the Rfam family "Bacterial large subunit ribosomal RNA", at positions 14 to 2625 of the family's 2925-position model. The record is from RNAcentral.
AGGGCGCAGGGCGAAUGCCUUGGCACUGGGAGCCGAUGAAAGACGUGAUAAGCUGCGAUAAGCUUCGGGGAGCUGCAAAUAAGCAUUGAUCCGGAGAUUUCUGAAUGAGGAAACUCACCUGGGUUCAUACUCAGGUACGUUACACUGAAAUUCAAAAUAGGUGUAUCGAGGGAACCGCCUGAACUGAAACAUCUAAGUAGGGCGAGGAAGAGACAUCAAACGAGAUUCCGUAAGUAGUGGCGAGCGAACGCGGAAGAGGGCAAACCGAGAGUAGAAAUACUUUCGGGGUACGGACUGCUUUUAGGACUUAAUCUGUUAACCGAACGGCAUGGGAAGGCCGGUCAGAGAGUGUGAGAACCACGUAGGUGAAAACGGAGAGAGCUGCGCAGAUUCCAGAGUACGGCCAGACACGUGAAACCUGGUCGGAAGAUGGGGGGACCACCCUCCAACCCUAAAUACUACCCAGUGACCGAUAGCGUAUAGUACUGUGAAGGAAAGGUGAAAAGCACCCCGGGAGGGGAGUGAAAAAGAACCUGAAACCCUGUGCCUACAAGCACCUAGAGCACGUCAAAGUGUGAUAGGGUACUUUUUGUAGAACGGUCCGGCGAGCGAUUGUAUGCAGCAAGGUUAAGGACUUAAGGUCUGGAGCCGAAGCGAAAGCGAGUUUGAAAAGGGCGUUAAGUUGCAUAUAAUGGGCCCGAAACCGGGUGACCUACCCAUGGUCAGGUUGAAGUGGAAGUAAAAUUCCAUGGAGGACCGAACCGACCUCCGUUGAAAAGGCGGCGGAUGAACUGUGGGUAGCGGAGAAAUUCCAAUCGAACCCGGAGAUAGCUGGUUCUCCCCGAAAUAGUUUUAGGACUAGCCUCAAGUUAGAUACCUGGAGGUAAAGCACUGAAUAGCCUAGCGGCCGAGAGGUUAGCGAAGCUUAUCAAACUCAGAAUGCCAGAGUAUUGAUGCUUGGGAGUCAGACAGUGUCAGAUAAAUGUCAUUGUCAAAAGGGAAACAGCCCAGAUCUACAGCUAAGGUCCCAAAGUCAGGUUAAGUGGAAAACGAUGUGAAGAUACGCAGACAACCAGGAUGUUGGCUCAGAAGCAGCCACUCAUUCAAAGAGUGCGUAAUAGCUCACUGGUCGAGCGUCUUUGCGCGGAGAAUUUAACGGGGCUAAACCUGACACCGAAGCUUAGGCAAUACAGCAAUGUAUUGGGUAGGGGAGCGUUGUAUACGCGGAGAAACAGUAGCGUAAGCGGCUGUGGAGUGUAUAGAAGUGAGAAUGCCGGAAUGAGUAGCGCGAAUGCAGUGAGAAUCUGCAUGGCCGAAAGCCUCAGGUUUCUGGAGGAAGGUUCGUCCGCUCCAGGUUAGUCGGGAGCUAAGGUGAGGCCUAACGGCGUAGCCGAUGCACAGACGGUAGAGAUUCCGUCACCACCAAAAGAGUUAAGCACAGGGACACAUAUGAAGUCUCAGAGCCGGGUGUUGGUUCCGGUAGAGAUCGAGGGAAAUUAGUACCGAAGUCUGAGAUGGAAGAUGGCGAGAAAAGCUGUGUGUAUUUCUGAGGUGCCCGUACCGCAAACCGACACAGGUAGGUAGGAAGAAGAUUCUAAGGCCAACGGGAGAAGGGUUGUUAAGGAACUCGGCAAAUUGACCCCGUAACUUCGGGAGAAGGGGUGCUCCAGAGAUGGAGCCGCAGAGAAUCGGCCCAAGCAACUGUUUACCAAAAACACAGGUUUGUGCUAAAUCGAAAGAUGACGUAUACGAGCUGACGCCUGCCCGGUGCUGGAAGGUUAAGAGGAGAUGUGCAAGCAUUGAAUCGAAGCCCCAGUGAACGGCGGCCGUAACUAUAACGGUCCUAAGGUAGCGAAAUUCCUUGUCAGGUAAGUUCUGACCCGCAUGAAAGGCGUAAUGAUUUGGGCACUGUCUCAACAGCCCGCCCGGCGAAAUUGUAGUACCGGUGAAGAUGCCGGUUACCCGCGACAAGACGGAAAGACCCCAUGGAGCUUUACUGUAGCCUAAUAUUGGGUUUCGAUGUUGCAUGCACAGGAUAGAUGGGACACUGGGAAGCAGGUGCUUUGGCGCUUGUGGAGUGGCCGUUGGGAUACCAUCCUUGCGAUAUUGGAAUUCUAACCUGCGCCUUUGAAUCAAGGCGGGGGACAUUGUUAGGUGGGCAGUUUGACUGGGGCGGUCGCCUCCUAAAGAGUAACGGAGGCGUUCAAAGGUUCGCUCAGCUUGAACGGAAAUCAAGCAAAAGAGUGCAAACGCAGAAGCGAGCCUAACUGCGAGACUGACGGGUCGAGCAGUAACGAAAGUUGGAGUUAGUGAUCCGGUGGUAUGUGAGUGGAAAUGCCAUCGCUCAACGGAUAAAAGUUACCCUGGGGAUAACAGGCUGAUCUCCCCCAAGAGUCCACAUCGACGGGGAGGUUUGGCACCUCGAUGUCGGCUCAUCGCAUCCUGGGGCUGUAUUCGGUCCCAAGGGUUUGGCUGUUCGCCAAUUAAAGCGGCACGCGAGCUGGGUUCAGAACGUCGUGAG